GGACUACCCGGGUAUCUAAUCCUGUUUGAUCCCCACGCUUUCGCGCCUCAGCGUCAGAAAUGUGCCAGAUAGCCGCCUUCGCCACCGGUGUUCCUCCUAAUAUCUACGAAUUUCACCUCUACAUUAGGAAUUCCGCUAUCCCCUCACAUCCUCCAGUUAUACAGUUUCAAAGGCAGUUCCGGAGUUAAGCUCCGGGAUUUCACCCCUGACUUGUAUAACCGCCUACGCGCUCUUUACGCCCAGUAAUUCCGAACAACGCUAGCACCCUUCGUAUUACCGCGGCUGCUGGCAC
Molecule: ribosomal RNA, 292 nt
Filed under: uncultured Alphaproteobacteria bacterium
Lineage: Bacteria; Pseudomonadati; Pseudomonadota; Alphaproteobacteria
Description: partial 16S ribosomal RNA
Source: RNAcentral